UACGAAGGGGGCUAGCGUUGUUCGGAAUUACUGGGCGUAAAGCGCGCGCAGGCGGUUUUCCAAGUCAGUGGUGAAAGCCCGGAGCUCAACUCCGGAAUUGCCUUUGAUACUGGGAAUCUCGAGUCCGGGAGAGGUGAGUGGAACUGCGAGUGUAGAGGUGAAAUUCGUAGAUAUUCGCAAGAACACCAGUGGCGAAGGCGGCUCACUGGCCCGGUACUGACGCUGAGGUGCGAAAGCGUGGGGAGCAAACAGG
Molecule: ribosomal RNA, 253 nt
Filed under: uncultured bacterium
Lineage: Bacteria
Description: partial 16S ribosomal RNA
Rfam family: Bacterial small subunit ribosomal RNA
Source: RNAcentral